UACCCAGCAACUCCUAUCCUUACCUCCUCGUGGUACUGGCCGGGGUAUGAGUAAGAUCGGGUAACCAACCCCGGUGGGAAUUUUAGUCGUAUGCUGACAGGGAAGG
This 106-nucleotide ribozyme is filed under the name Aedes aegypti (yellow fever mosquito). RNAcentral's name for it is "drz-agam-1 ribozyme". It matches the Rfam family "drz-agam-1 ribozyme". Lineage: Eukaryota; Metazoa; Arthropoda; Insecta; Diptera; Culicidae. The record is from Rfam by way of RNAcentral.